This is a long non-coding RNA of Oncorhynchus keta (chum salmon), 753 nucleotides long. RefSeq lists it as uncharacterized. The transcript has 5 exons. NCBI's taxonomy places the organism in Eukaryota, Metazoa, Chordata, Actinopteri, Salmoniformes, Salmonidae. The record is from RefSeq and is a predicted model, not a curated record.
GAACACUGUUGAUACCAGGUUAUAUCUGUACUGUCUUCCAACCUGAACACUGAUACCAGUUUAUAUCUGUACUGUCUUCCAACCUGAACACCAACCUGAACACUGAUACCAGUUUAUAUCUGAACUGUCUUCCAACCUGAACACCAACCUGAACACUGUUGAUACCAGGUUAUAUCUGUACUGUCUUCCAACCUGAACACCAACCUGAACACUGUUGAUACCAGGUUAUAUCUGUACUGUCUUCCAACCUGAACACCAACCUGAACACUGUUGAUACCAGUUUAUAUCUGUACUGUCUUCCAACCUGAACACCAACCUGAACACUGUUGAUACCAGGUUAUAUCUGUACUGUCUUCCAACCUGAACACUGAUGAUACCAGGUUAUAUCUGUACUGUCUUCCAACCUGAACACUGUUGAUACCAGGUUAUAUCUGUACUGUCUUCCACCCUGAACACUGUUGAUACCAGGUUAUAUCUGUACUGUCUUCCACCCUGAACACUGUUGAUACCAGGUUAUAUCUGUACUGUCUUCCACCCUGAACACUGUUGAUACCAGGUUAUAUCUGUACUGUCUUCCACCCUGAACACUGUUGAUACCAGGUUAUAUCUGUUCUGUCUUCCAACCUGAACACUGUUGAUACCAGGUUAUAUCUGUACUGUCUUCCAACCUGAACACUGAUACCAGGUUAUAUCUGUUCUGUCUUCCAACCUGAACACUGUUGAUACCAGGUUAUAUCUGUACUGUCUUCCAAC